GAUGAACGCUGGCGGCGUGCCUAAUACAUGCAAGUCGAACGAAACUUCUUUAUCACCGAGUGCUUGCACUCACCGAUAAAGAGUUGAGUGGCGAACGGGUGAGUAACACGUGGGCAACCUGCCCAAAAGAGGGGGAUAACACUUGGAAACAGGUGCUAAUACCGCAUAACCAUAGUUACCGCAUGGUAACUAUGUAAAAGGUGGCUAUACUACCGCUUUUGGAUGGGCCCGCGGCGCAUUAGCUAGUUGGUAGGGUAAAGGCUUACCAAGGCAAUGAUGCGUAGCCGAAUUGAGAGGUUGAUCGGCCACAUUGGGACUGAGACACGGCCCAAACUCCUACGGGAGGCAGCAGUAGGGAAUCUUCCACAAUGGGCGAAAGCCUGAUGGAGCAACGCCGCGUGGGUGAAGAAGGUCUUCGGAUCGUAAAACCCUGUUGUUAGAGAAGAAAGUGCGUGUGAGUAACUGUUCACGUUUCGACGGUAUCUAACCAGAAAGCCACGGCUAACUACGUG
Molecule: ribosomal RNA, 512 nt
Filed under: uncultured bacterium
Lineage: Bacteria
Description: partial 16S ribosomal RNA
Rfam family: Bacterial small subunit ribosomal RNA
Source: RNAcentral